This 187-nucleotide ribosomal RNA is filed under the name uncultured bacterium. RNAcentral describes it as "partial 16S ribosomal RNA". It matches the Rfam family "Bacterial small subunit ribosomal RNA", at positions 1314 to 1500 of the family's 1533-position model. The record is from RNAcentral.
GCCUAUACGAAGUCGGAAUUGCUAGUAAUCGCGGAUCAGCAUGCCGCGGUGAAUACGUUCCCGGGCCUUGUACACACCGCCCGUCACACCAUGAGAGUCGAUAACACCCGAAGCCUGUAGUCUAACCAUAUGGGGGACGCAGUCGAAGGUGGGAUUGAUAAUUAGGGUGAAGUCGUAACAAGGUAAC